Long non-coding RNA from Homo sapiens (human), 2391 nucleotides. Ensembl annotates it as long intergenic non-protein coding RNA 941. NCBI's taxonomy places the organism in Eukaryota, Metazoa, Chordata, Mammalia, Primates, Hominidae. The record is from Ensembl.
GGUGGUGGUCUGGGGGGUUGGAAGGGGCGGGAAGGGCGCUGUCUUAAGAAUCAUCCUCACAUCUCAGGGCUUCGCCCCUCGAGGGAGGUGACCCUUGGCCACCCUCUGCGCAGUUCUCCCUGAAAGGUCAUGCCACGUCUUAGCACUCUGGUCCCUGCGCCCCUGCAGGCCUCGCGGAUCCCCCACUUGUCUCGACGCAGGGGACGCCCACUUGUCUGACGCAGGGGACGUGGCUGAAGUCAGUCGGGCCGCCCGCUUGCUGCACGGCAGCCGUGGGACUGGCACAGGCUCCUCGGCAGCAUUAUGGGCAGCUGGUAGAGCGGCCACUUCUGAGAGCCGGAUGGGCCUUCCGAGGUCGGGCCGUGCCCCGCUGGGCAGCGCAGAGGGGGUGUGUAGGGCACGCGACUUGGAGCCAGGUCCAGACCCAUCCUGGCUCCUCUCAGGGCUCCUUCCCCUGCCCCCAUUCCACCCCAGCCCUGCUGGCUGUCCCGCAGGACCCAGCGCCGCGGUAGCCUUCUCUGAACUGCGGCUCAGGCGGAGGUGUCACUCCUGCCUCCAGCCCAGGAGGGCAGGUCAGGUUAUGCAACGCGUGCCGCGCGAUCUCCCCCCACCUCCAACCCCCUUUUCUCCCGGGUCCACACCGCAGUUCCCACCGCUCCGGGUGUCCUCCCCAGUGCGCCGCGAUUUUUGUGUCCAAGCCCCAGAGUCCCUCUGAGACCAACCCCCAGCCAGCACAGACUUCCUGCCUUCCCAGCUCGGAAGCGCCCUCGAGAAGUGUCUAAAGGAGACAGUUGAUAGCCAAACAACAGUUUUGGAUUCACUGACUGAUUAUGAAAGAAGCAGUAGACUGGUAUCAAGAAUCAGUCAGCAAGGAGGCCCUCACCAGACGCCAGUGCCAUGUUCUUGGACUUCUCAGCCUCCAUAUUCAUGAACUAAGUUUUUGGAAUCCUUAGGCUUCCACGUGUGGAAAGCCUGAGCUAACCUACUGGAGGAUGAGCCAUCACCUGGAGCAGAUUCAGGCCAUCCUAGUUGAAGCCUCCCUAGGCCAAGCAACCGUCCAACUACCAGACAUUGACCAUUCAGCCUUGAACAUUCAGCACAAAGACAAAACAGACCAGACCAGAAGAGUCCCACAGAAUAGGGGAAACUAUUCAGAGAAAACUUAAGCCACUAAGUUUUAUGGUGUUUUGUUCUGUAGCAGAAGCAUAGGCAUACUGACAAUACAAACCGAAAUCCUUCUAACGUAGUGGACCUUUUCAGGCCAGCAUUUUUUCCUUGAAAACCUGGAGCAUGUAUCCAUCUUAUAGCAGAGAUCACUUUCACAAUGUUUGGGCUCUUGAUUUGAAUUGAUGAUGUAAUGAGCCCUCUAUCCAGAUUGUAACUAAUUACUCUGCGAAUUGACUGGAUUCCACACCCUUCUAAUAUUUUACUUUUCCUCUUUUAUCAACUCUCAUUCUUGCUGCCAUGAUCAAUGGACCAACUAUGCUUAUAACCACAAAUUUUGAUAUGCUUAAACAAAUGAACAAAUAUAUUUAAUAAUUUCUUUUUUUUUUUUGAAAUAGUAUCUUGCUCUGUCACCCAGGCUGCAGUGCAGCAGCGUGAUCUCAGCUCACUAUAACCUCCACCUCCCGGGUUCAAGUGAUUCUCCUGCCUCAGCCUCCCAAGUAGCUGGGACUACAGGCGCCCACCACCAUACCUGGCUAAUUUUUUGUAUUUUUAGUAGAGACAGGGUUUAUCCAUGUUGGCCAGGCUGGUCUCAAACUCCUGACCUCAAGUGAUCCUCCUGCCUCGGCCUCCCAAAGUGCUGGGAUUACAGGUGUGAGCCACCAUGCCCAGCCAAUAAUUUCCUGAUAUAAUAAAAAUGCCAAUACUAUACAAUUAAAUAGUAAAGUGAUAAAAAAUAGGAUAACAUGAUAACCACUAAUUAAUAUAUACUACAUAAUCAUCCUUUUCGUGAGUUGAAAUGUUCUUUUAGCACACUUUAUGGUUUAUCCUUUCUGGAAUACUAUUAUAUGAUCAUGAUUUUUCUCACACUUGUUCCAGUGAAAUAUACUUUUAGGUGUUUCCUUUGUAUUGUUCAAACUGUAAUAUCUCCAGUGGAAGAUUUUUUAAGCUUGUUCUUGUCUUGUCAGUGUCACCCACAUAGUCAUAGUCUGAAAGCAUUUUGCUUUCUGGAAAUAAGAUAUUAUAGGCACCAAGUUAUGGAAUUAUCUACUUUUCACCAAGCCUUCAUUCUUUCAGUGCUGUAUUAGAGACCUCAUUUAGGGUUCUAAGGGUGCAUAUCAAAUUGUUCCAUGAGUCUAAAAUGGAUAAUUCUUCUGUGGGCCAUUUUUAGUGCUAGAGCUAGAAAAGUUAUACUUUUAAAAGGUAAAUAGCUCACAAUGAUUUUGC